UAAAAAUUUCUUAUUUUUGUUUCUAGGGGGGUUAGUAAUUUUAUAAAAAAUUCAUAAAUUUUAUUUAAAAGUAUUGUAAAGAAAUUAUUAUGUAAGUUAUAGUUUAUAAGUACUGAAAAGGAAAGUGUUAUUUAGAAUAAAGCAAAGCUUUACUUUUGUACCUUUUGUAUCAGGGGUAAACAAAAUUAGCUGUAAAUUUAUGGGUGUCUCGAAACAAGAGGAGCUAGCGUCUUUAGUGUUUUUUCGUAGUAAGGGUAUUAGUAAGUAGGCGUUAGUAGUGAUAUGUUAGUCGUCUUUUGUAUAUCUAGUUUUUUGUUAAAAAAAUUUAAUUUUGCUUUUUUUUAGAGUUGAAUUAAAAAUAAAAAGUAGGAGGUAAGAGCUUCUUAUUUUUCUUUUGCCAGAAUAGUUUAGUUUUGUUGUUAAGUGGGCUUAAAAUCAGUUAUCUUACUAUAACGUUAUAGUAAAUCUAUGUUAGAAGUUAGUUUUUAUUGUUCUGUUAAUUUUAGCUAAAAAUAUCUAUUAACGAAAUUUUGUUAAUUAAAAUGUUUAUAUAAGUAUGAUUAAAGUUUAAGUAUAAAAUGAAAUUACAUUUGACUUUUAAUUUAUGUUAGUUGUUAAAAAGGAACUCGGCAAAUGUUAUCUUCACCUGUUUAUCAAAAACAUGGCUGUAUGAGUUAUUAGUAUAGAGUCUAGCCUGCCCACUGAGUUUUUAAAGGGCUGCGGUAAUUUGACCGUGCAAAGGUAGCAUAAUCAGUAGUCUUUUAAUUGAAGGCUUGAAUGAACGGUUGGAUGAGGGAAAAGCUGUCUUUUUUGCAAAUUAGAAUUUGACUUUUAAGUGAAAAGGCUUAAAUUAAAUGGGGGGACGAUAAGACCCUAUAAAACUUGAUAAAAAGUUUAUUUUAACUUUAAAUUAUAUUUAAAAAUUGUGAAGUUUUCUUUUUAUUUUGUUGGGGCGACAUUGAUAUAAAUUGUAACUGUUUUAGCAAAAAGUAUAAUUAUCAUUAUAGUUUGAUCCUUCUUUGGGGAUAAAAAGAAUAAGUUACUUUAGGGAUAACAGCGUGAUUUUUUCUGAGAGUUCUUAUCGAAGAAAGUAGUUGCGACCUCGAUGUUGAAUUAAAAUUUCAAGCAGGUGUAGCCGUUUGCUUUGUAGGUCUGUUCGACCUUUAAAAUUUUACAUGAUUUGAGUUCAAACCGGUGUGAGCCAGGUUGGCUUCUAUCUUUUAUUGGUAAAUUGAAGGUUUUAGUACGAGAGGAUUGAACUUUCAAGAGUUUCUUUAAGUUUAGAUAUAGUCUAAU
RNAcentral lists this ribosomal RNA (1296 nucleotides) under Palaemon annandalei. Its description in RNAcentral is "16S ribosomal RNA". The stretch from base 832 to 1227 matches the Rfam family "Bacterial large subunit ribosomal RNA", at positions 2049 to 2651 of the family's 2925-position model. The record is from RNAcentral. Lineage: Eukaryota; Metazoa; Arthropoda; Malacostraca; Decapoda; Palaemonidae.